UCGUACAAUGGAGGUGCUGGGGUUGUCGCUGACCUUUGAAACGGUCGUGCACGCUUCGGUACUCUCACAUACAAUCCAUCUCACCCCUCUUGUGCAUCACCGCGCGGAGGCCCCUUUUGGCUAGUUCUAAAGGAGGUUUUCACGUUUUUAUACAUACACCAUUUUAAUGCAAUGCGUAGAAUGUCAUACUUUUGCGAUCACACGCAAUUAAUA
This 213-nucleotide unclassified non-coding RNA is filed under the name uncultured fungus. Its description in RNAcentral is "sequence contains ITS1, 5.8S rRNA gene". The record is from RNAcentral. Lineage: Eukaryota; Fungi.